RNAcentral lists this transfer RNA (77 nucleotides) under Cordylochernes scorpioides. Its description in RNAcentral is "tRNA-Thr". It matches the Rfam family "tRNA". Rfam says of the family: Transfer RNA (tRNA) molecules are approximately 80 nucleotides in length. Their secondary structure includes four short double-helical elements and three loops (D, anti-codon, and T loops). The record is from RNAcentral. Lineage: Eukaryota; Metazoa; Arthropoda; Arachnida; Pseudoscorpiones; Chernetidae.
UCCAGGGUAGUCUAGUGGACAUUGAUGACAUCUGCCCGGUAAGCGGAACAUUGUGGGUUUGAUUCCCAUCCCUGGAC